AGAGUUUGAUCCUGGCUCAGGACGAACGCUGGCGGCGUGCCUAAUACAUGCAAGUAGAACGCUGAAGAGAGGAGCUUGCUCUUCUUGGAUGAGUUGCGAACGGGUGAGUAACGCGUAGGUAACCUGCCUUGUAGCGGGGGAUAACUAUUGGAAACGAUAGCUAAUACCGCAUAACAAUGGAUGACCCAUGUCAUUUAUUUGAAAGGGGCAAAUGCUCCACUACAAGAUGGACCUGCGUUGUAUUAGCUAGUAGGUGAGGUAACGGCUCACCUAGGCGACGAUACAUAGCCGACCUGAGAGGGUGAUCGGCCACACUGGGACUGAGACACGGCCCAGACUCCUACGGGAGGCAGCAGUAGGGAAUCUUCGGCAAUGGGGGCAACCCUGACCGAGCAACGCCGCGUGAGUGAAGAAGGUUUUCGGAUCGUAAAGCUCUGUUGUAAGUCAAGAACGAGUGUGAGAGUGGAAAGUUCACACUGUGACGGUAGCUUACCAGAAAGGGACGGCUAACUACGUGCCAGCAGCCGCGGUAAUACGUAGGUCCCGAGCGUUGUCCGGAUUUAUUGGGCGUAAAGCGAGCGCAGGCGGUUUGAUAAGUCUGAAGUUAAAGGCUGUGGCUCAACCAUAGUUCGCUUUGGAAACUGUCAAACUUGAGUGCAGAAGGGGAGAGUGGAAUUCCAUGUGUAGCGGUGAAAUGCGUAGAUAUAUGGAGGAACACCGGUGGCGAAAGCGGCUCUCUGGUCUGUAACUGACGCUGAGGCUCGAAAGCGUGGGGAGCGAACAGGAUUAGAUACCCUGGUAGUCCACGCCGUAAACGAUGAGUGCUAGGUGUUGGAUCCUUUCCGGGAUUCAGUGCCGCAGCUAACGCAUUAAGCACUCCGCCUGGGGAGUACGACCGCAAGGUUGAAACUCAAAGGAAUUGACGGGGGCCCGCACAAGCGGUGGAGCAUGUGGUUUAAUUCGAAGCAACGCGAAGAACCUUACCAGGUCUUGACAUCCCGAUGCUAUUUCUAGAGAUAGAAAGUUACUUCGGUACAUCGGUGACAGGUGGUGCAUGGUUGUCGUCAGCUCGUGUCGUGAGAUGUUGGGUUAAGUCCCGCAACGAGCGCAACCCCUAUUGUUAGUUGCCAUCAUUCAGUUGGGCACUCUAGCGAGACUGCCGGUAAUAAACCGGAGGAAGGUGGAGAUGACGUCAAAUCAUCAUGCCCCUUAUGACCUGGGCUACACACGUGCUACAAUGGUUGGUACAACGAGUUGCGAGUCGGUGACGGCAAGCUAAUCUCUUAAAGCCAAUCUCAGUUCGGAUUGUAGGCUGCAACUCGCCUACAUGAAGUCGGAAUCGCUAGUAAUCGCGGAUCAGCACGCCGCGGUGAAUACGUUCCCGGGCCUUGUACACACCGCCCGUCACACCACGAGAGUUUGUAACACCCGAAGUCGGUGAGGUAACCUUUUGGAGCCAGCCGCCUAAGGUGGGAUAGAUGAUUGGGGUGAAGUCGUAACAAGGUA
RNAcentral lists this ribosomal RNA (1506 nucleotides) under metagenome. Its description in RNAcentral is "bacterial SSU rRNA". It matches the Rfam family "Bacterial small subunit ribosomal RNA". The record is from RNAcentral.